RNAcentral lists this ribosomal RNA (510 nucleotides) under uncultured bacterium. RNAcentral describes it as "bacterial SSU rRNA". It matches the Rfam family "Bacterial small subunit ribosomal RNA", at positions 29 to 535 of the family's 1533-position model. The record is from RNAcentral.
AACGAACGCUGGCGGCGCGCCUAACACAUGCAAGUCGAACGAGAAUCCGGGGCAACCCGGUAGUAAAGUGGCAAACGGGUGAGGAAUACAUGGGUAACCUACCCUUGAGAAGGGAAUAACCCGCCGAAAGGUGAGCUAAUACCCUAUACGCUAUCUUUUUUCGAAAAGGAUAGGAAAGCCGGGUCGAGGACCUGGUACUCAAGGAGGGGCUCAUGUCCUAUCAGCUUGUUGGUGGGGUAACGGCCUACCAAGGCUACGACGGGUAGCUGGUCUGAGAGGAUGAUCAGCCACACUGGCACUGAGAUACGGGCCAGACUCCUACGGGAGGCAGCAGUGAGGAAUAUUGCGCAAUGGGCGAAAGCCUGACGCAGCGACGCCGCGUGGGGGAUGAAGGUUUUCGGAUUGUAAACCCCUUUCAUGAGGAAAGAUAAAGUGGGUAACCACUUAGACGGUACCUCAAGAAGAAGCCACGGCUAACUUCGUGCCAGCAGCCGCGGUAAUGUCAGUGAC